Long non-coding RNA from Lathyrus oleraceus (garden pea), 668 nucleotides. RefSeq lists it as uncharacterized. Lineage: Eukaryota; Viridiplantae; Streptophyta; Magnoliopsida; Fabales; Fabaceae. The transcript has 3 exons. The record is from RefSeq and is a predicted model, not a curated record.
AACUUUUCAUUUGGAUGCGCCUAAAAUUUCAUUACGCACCAAACAUUUAUGUGAAAUCCUAAAAUCUUGGUUUUUGUUUCCUUCUUCCUCUAUUCCUUCAAACCAUCACGUCUCCUCCAAAUUGCUGAAAAAUACUAAUGAGUGAGUCUGAGUGUGCGAGGGGGGGAGAAAUUGCUCCGUGGUAUGGCGGCGAUGAACAAGAAAAGGGGUGUGAGUUUGGAAGGAAAGAAGAUGAUAUAUGUCCCUUACAUGGAACCCUAUGUCCCCAAAUAUCAACAAGGAGACUUUCAUUAUCUUGGAUAAAGGUUUGGUUGUUGGAACCUUCUCACGGUGAACCCCAUGUGGAAGGGGUUUGUGGAAACUUCACAUAGCAACAUUUUCAAAGAGAUAACAUUGACAGGUGACUUUGGAGUUGCAAAUGACACAAGACAAGAGUGAGGAGAUGAUUGGUUUGAGGAGAUGUUGCUGGGCGAAUGGUUAAAUAGUUGAAAUUAUUAAGUUUCCUACAAAUAUGUUAUUAGGACUGUAAUCAUCCUUUAAGUACCAAAAUCUCCAAUGUUCAUGUCAAACUUAGAUACUUCAAUAUUUGUUAUAUUUGACUCAUUUCAGUUAAUCAAAUUGAUUAUCUAGCUAGCUAGCUGCAAUGAUGAAGAUGUUUUCAAUGUUCA